Molecule: small nuclear RNA, 103 nt
Filed under: Microtus ochrogaster (prairie vole)
Lineage: Eukaryota; Metazoa; Chordata; Mammalia; Rodentia; Cricetidae
Source: RNAcentral
AUGCCCAUUCUGGCAGCACAUACAUUAAAAUUGGGAUGAUACAGAGAUUAGUAUGGCUCCUGCACAAAGUGUGAAUGCCCUCCUAGUGGGAACACAGGCAUUU